RNAcentral lists this ribosomal RNA (465 nucleotides) under uncultured bacterium. Its description in RNAcentral is "partial 16S ribosomal RNA". It matches the Rfam family "Bacterial small subunit ribosomal RNA", at positions 338 to 795 of the family's 1533-position model. The record is from RNAcentral.
CCUACGGGAGGCAGCAGUAGGGAAUCUUCCACAAUGGGCGAAAGCCUGAUGGAGCAACGCCGCGUGGGUGAAGAAGGUCUUCGGAUCGUAAAACCCUGUUGUUAGAGAAGAAAGUGCGUGAGAGUAACUGUUCACGUUUCGACGGUAUCUAACCAGAAAGCCACGGCUAACUACGUGCCAGCAGCCGCGGUAAUACGUAGGUGGCAAGCGUUAUCCGGAUUUAUUGGGCGUAAAGGGAACGCAGGCGGUCUUUUAAGUCUGAUGUGAAAGCCUUCGGCUUAACCGGAGUAGUGCAUUGGAAACUGGGAGACUUGAGUGCAGAAGAGGAGAGUGGAACUCCAUGUGUAGCGGUGAAAUGCGUCGAUAUAUGGAAGAACACCAGUGGCGAAAGCGGCUCUCUGGGCUGUAACUGACGCUGAGGUUCGAAAGCGUGGGUAGCAAACAGGAUUAGAUACCCCAGUAGUC